This 479-nucleotide ribosomal RNA is filed under the name uncultured bacterium. RNAcentral's name for it is "bacterial SSU rRNA". It matches the Rfam family "Bacterial small subunit ribosomal RNA", at positions 330 to 801 of the family's 1533-position model. The record is from RNAcentral.
UGCGAACUCCUACGGGAGGCAGCAGUGGGGAAUAUUGCACAAUGGGCGCAAGCCUGAUGCAGCCAUGCCGCGUGUAUGAAGAGGGCCUUCGGGUUGUAAAGUACUUUCAGCGAGGAGGAAGGCACUGUGGUUAAUAACCACAGUGAUUGACGUUACUCGCAGAAGAAGCACCGGCUAACUCCGUGCCAGCAGCCGCGGUAAUACGGAGGGUGCAAGCGUUAAUCGGAAUUACUGGGCGUAAAGCGCACGCAGGCGGUCUGUCAAGUCGGAUGUGAAAUCCCCGGGCUCAACCUGGGAACUGCAUUCGAAACUGGCAGGCUAGAGUCUUGUAGAGGGGGGUAGAAUUCCAGGUGUAGCGGUGAAAUGCGUAGAGAUCUGGAGGAAUACCGGUGGCGAAGGCGGCCCCCUGGACAAAGACUGACGCUCAGGUGCGAAAGCGUGGGGAGCAAACAGGAUUAGAUACCCCAGUAGUCCAGAUG